UACCAGCAUCCGAGUGGUCGGGACGAUUAUUGGGCCUAAAGCAUCCGUAGCCGGUUCUGCAAGUCCCCCGUUAAAUCCAGCUGCUCAACAGAUGGGCCGCGGAGGAUACUACAGAGCUAGGAGGCAGGAGAGGCAAGCGGUACUCAGUGGGUAGGGGUAAAAUCCGUUGAUCCAUUGAAGACCACCAGUGGCGAAGGCGGCUUGCCAGAAUGCGCUCGACGGUGAGGGAUGAAAGCUGGGGGAGCAAACCGG
RNAcentral lists this ribosomal RNA (252 nucleotides) under uncultured bacterium. RNAcentral describes it as "partial 16S ribosomal RNA". It matches the Rfam family "Archaeal small subunit ribosomal RNA", at positions 474 to 727 of the family's 1478-position model. The record is from RNAcentral.